CUGGAUAGCUCAGUUGGCAGAGCACGAGAUUCAUAAUCUCAGGGUUGUGGGUUCGAGCCCCAUAGGGUGUGAAAGA
Podarcis lilfordi (Lilford's wall lizard) is the source of this 76-nucleotide non-coding RNA. NCBI's taxonomy places the organism in Eukaryota, Metazoa, Chordata, Lepidosauria, Squamata, Lacertidae. The record is from the annotation of a GenBank genome assembly.